UACGGGGGGGGGCAAGCGUUGUUCGGAAUUACUGGGCGUAAAGGGCUCGUAGGUGGCCAACUAAGUCAGACGUGAAAUCCCUCGGCUUAACCGGGGAACUGCGUCUGAUACUGGAUGGCUUGAGAUUGGGAGAGGGAUGCGGAAUUCCAGGUGUAGCGGUGAAAUGCGUAGAUAUCUGGAGGAACACCGGUGGCGAAGGCGGCAUCCUGGACCAACACUGACGCUGAGGAGCGAAAGCCAGGGGAGCAAACGGG
RNAcentral lists this ribosomal RNA (254 nucleotides) under uncultured bacterium. RNAcentral describes it as "partial 16S ribosomal RNA". It matches the Rfam family "Bacterial small subunit ribosomal RNA", at positions 524 to 776 of the family's 1533-position model. The record is from RNAcentral.